UACGGGGGGGGCAAGCGUUGUUCGGAAUUACUGGGCGUAAAGGGCGCGUAGGCGGCCAACUAAGUCAGACGUGAAAUCCCUCGGCUUAACCGGGGAACUGCGUCUGAUACUGGAUGGCUUGAGUUUGGGAGAGGGAUGCGGAAUUCCAGGUGUAGCGGUGAAAUGCGUAGAUAUCUGGAGGAACACCGGUGGCGAAGGCGGCAUCCUGGACCAACACUGACGCUGAGUGAGCGAAAGCCAGGGGAGCAAACGGG
Molecule: ribosomal RNA, 254 nt
Filed under: uncultured bacterium
Lineage: Bacteria
Description: partial 16S ribosomal RNA
Rfam family: Bacterial small subunit ribosomal RNA
Source: RNAcentral